CUUCAAGUCGGUGCUCUAGACAGAUGCCAGAGUUUCCUACUUGGAAUUCCAAGUUGGAUGACGGUUCAAAACUAAUUUUCCCACAUUUGUAGUUAUCUUGAACACACUGAAGUCGGAUAUUUCCGAGUUCCCAGGUGUUUUGAACGAUGCGCAAUCAAAGCGUUUGCUACUAAACUUGACAAUGGCCUAAUGUCACGAAAAAUAUAACAAGUUAAUACGUGUGUUUAAUUCAACUAGCUAGUUAUGGAUGAAUAUUAUGAAAGUAUUGUUUUCCGAAGUGAAAGAGUCGAGGAUAACGUGUCUUUAGCUGUGGCUACUGACGACUCCGCACUGGUAAAGGCCUAUGAAGACGGGCUCCGAACAUUUCGGAGCUGUAAUGAUGAAAAAGAGAGCAAAGAGAAGCUUGGAAACAACCCACCGAAAUUGACAGACUCAAAACUCCCCAAAUCUCAUGUGUUGAGUAAGGAGCCGGUUGAACCAAAGGCAAACUCAAAGAGGGCUGAAAAAGAGAGCGGUGAGAAGCUUGCAGACAAUCCGCAGACGCUGUCUGAAUCAUAUGUGCCGACCAAAGGACCAGUUGACCCGAAGACAAACUCAAAGGUGUGGAGGCUGGGAUACCGGUGUCGUACGGUGUACUCCGAGGAUGGCCUGGUUUACCCAGCGGUGCUGGUGUGGUUGAGGGGCGAACGCUGCCGGGUGAAGUUUGAAGGCUACGGGAAUGAGGAAGAGCUGGAGCUGAGCAGCCUGCUAUCUCCAGUAGAACUGGGAGGCCACAGAGGAAGAGUUGAUGCCAAAGUGCAACAAGGGGCUGUUGAUGGGUUCAGCUCCACUAGUAACAACAUUGCUGAUUGGAAGAGGAUGGAAAGAGUUUGGAGGACAGCUCAACAAGAGGGACGAGAGGAGCUGUCCUCACCUCAGCCACCUAAGUUUGCUCCAGGAAAAGACUAUGGCAAAAGCAGCUAUGACUUUGGCAAGGAGCAUGGGGAUAAGAAGAAGCCAAGUGGCCGGCGAGAGGUACCAAACAAUCACCCCUUUUCCUUCUUUCCUCCAGUGCCACCGCCCAAGGACUCUCUGGCAAUGCAACAGACGAAAACAAGUCGCAGGAGGGCUGAUAAAGAGAAACAGGCAGAGGAAUAAGGUAAAGUGAUCUACCUUCAUGCGGUUUCAAUUCCAAUUCCACUGCUUUAUCAAAGGUUAUUUUAAAUAUUUGAAUUGGGAUGUGGGAUGGCACUAUCUAUCGAUUAAAACUGUAGGUUUAUUUGAAUCUUAUAAAAGUAAAGGCCUAAGUUUUGCAGUCACUGAAGAUUGCAGGCUGAGUAAUUCUCGUAUGAGGAUAUAUUAGGACUGAAGAUACCACCCUGGGGAAUUCCACAGGUAGGCUAUGUACUAUUAAGCUCUCAUAACUGCCUGCCUGUUCCCUUUCUAAUGGGUUUUUAAUUGUAUUUAUUUAUUUCACCUUUAUUUAACCAGGUAGGCAAGUUGAGAACAAGUUCUCAUUUACAAUGGCGACCUGGCCAAGAUAAAGCUAAGCAGUUUGACACAUACAACAACACAGUUACACAUGGAGUAAAACAAACAUACAGUCAAUAAUACGGUAGGAAAAUAAGUCUAUAUACAAUAUGAGGAAAUGAGGUGAGAUAAGGGAGGUAGAGGCAAAAAAAGGCCAUGGUGGUGAAGUAAAUACAAUAUAGCAAGUAAAACACUGGAAUGGUAGAUUUGCAGUGUAAAAAUGUGCAAAGUAGAGAGAGAAAUAAUGGGGUGCAAAGGAGCAAUAUAAAAUAAAUAAAUACAGUAGGGGGAGAGGUAAUUGUUUGGGCUAAAUUAUAGAUGGGCUAUGUACAGGUGCAGUAAUCUGUGAGCUACUCUGACAGCUGGUGCUUAAAGCUAGUGAGGGAGAAGUGUUUCCAGUGUCAGAGAUUUUUAUAGUUCGUUCCAGUCAUUGGCAGCAGAGAACUGGAAGGAGAGGCGGCCAAAGGAAGAAUUGGUUAUGGGGGUGACCAGAGAGAUAUACCUGUUGCAGCGCGUGCUACAGGUGGGUGAUGCUAUGUUGACCGGCGAGCUGAGAUAAGGGGGGACUUUACCUAGCAAGGUCUUGUAGAUGACCUGGAGCCAGUGGGUUUGGCGACGAGUAUGAAGUGAGGGCCAGCCAACGAGAGCGUACAGGUUGCAGUGGUGGGUAUUAUAUGGGGCUUUGGUGCCAAAAUGGAUGGCACUGUGAUAGACUGCAUCCAAUUUAUUGAGUAGGGUAUUGGAAGCUAUUUUGUAAAUGACAUCGCUGAAAUUGAGGAUCGGUAGGGUGGUCAGUUUUACAAGGUUAUGUUUGGCAGCAUGAGUGAAGGAUGCUUUGUUGCAAAAUAGGAAGCCAAUUCUAGAUUUAACUUUGGAUUGGAGAUGUUUGAUGUGAGUCUGGAAGGAGAGUUUACAGUCUAACCAGACACCGAGGUAUUUGUAGUUCUCCACAUAUUCUAAGUCAGAACCAUCCAGAGUAGUGACGUUGGACGGGCAGGCAGGUGCAGGCAGCGAUGGAGAGUUGUAUGGCAUUGAAGCUCAUCUGGAGGGUUGUUAGCACAGUGUCCAAAGGGCCAGAAGUAUACAGAAUGAUGUCGUCUGCGUAGAGGUGGAUCAGGUUUAAGACCCAAGAUUGGGGAAGAAGAGGAAAGAGCUGUCCUGUUGCAACAGGACAAGAGUUCCAAAGACUGAAUGAUCGUGUACUACACAGAGGUAGUCUAAUUUUGGGCUCUGUGGGAUGCAUCACAGUUUGCAGGUUUUUUUCUUACUGAAAAUGUGUGUUUUGACAAGAAGGUGAUGUGGAUAAGCAGUUAGGGGUAUGUUGACCCUAGUUCAAUAUGGCGUUAACUUUGCUCUUUAAGAGGCUUUUUGGAAAACUAUCUUUACUUUUCAGUUUUUGACACUUUUCAGUUUUUUUUAUACUGUUGAUAAAAGGUUUGCCAAGGAUAGUUUUUGGGGGAAAGAGAAAAUAAUGGGAUGCUAGUUUUUGGUCAAGUGGAAACCAUUAGAAUGAAUUGUUGAUCCCUCAGCUGUUGUCAGGAAAUGUUGGUUUCAGUUCAUUUGAGGAAUUUAUUUUACUGCUGUACAUUGCAAAUAUAUUGAACAUUGCCGUACUGCCAAAUUCUCUAAAACAAGGUUUGAGGCAGCAUAUGGUAAAAUAUAAAAUUCUCUGGCAACAGCUCUGGUGGACAUUCCUGCAGUCAGCAUGCCAAUUGCAGGCUCCCUCAAAACAUUGAGACAUCUGUGGCAUUGUGUUGUUGUUUUUUAGAGUGGCCUUUCAUUGCCCCCAGCACAAGGUGCACCUGUGUAAUGAUCAUGCUCAUCAGCUUCUUGAUAUGCCACACCUGUCAGGUGGAUGGAUUAUCUUGGCAAAGGAGAUGCUCACUAACAGGGAUGUAAACAAAUUUGUGCACAUAUCAAGAAUAAGCUUUUUGUCUGUAUGGGACAUUUCUUCUGUGAUCUUUUAUUUCAGCUCAUGAAAUAUGGGACCAAUACUUUACAUGUUGCGUUUUAUAUGUUUGUUCAGUAUAUAUUCGGACAAUCUGGGUGCUGUUUUCCCUGUUUCAGGACAUCUGGAAUACAUUGUUGACCAAUGGUCAUGCUUCACUGAUGUCUGCUUACUGAUAAGGAAGUUUGUGUUCAAUUAUUUCAGACUUGUCACUUGCUUUUUUUUGUCAAGAGAAAAGGAUUACGACCAAGUCACAUGCCUUGGAAUUUUGUUAUGCAUGUUUUAUUUAGAUGCAAUUGAAUAGUAAUUGUUUAAAAGGAUAGCAGACAUGAUAAACAAUAUAAUAUCAGACUGGUGGCAAUUGGGUCUCUCAAACCACCCAGCAUGGUUUACUCAUCUCCUCACCUUUAUCCCUGAGAUUCACCACAUAGUUUUCUUCAGGACGUAAGAACUAUAGUGUCAAUAUUAUGGCAAUUAAUUAAACUGUUUCUCAGAAAUGUGUGAGCGAGUAGGGACUAGUUAAAUUUUUACACUUUUAUUAAACACCAAUGUAAAAAAAAUUGAGAAAAAAAAUUGCAUAUUUUUGCAUCAAGUAUAUGUGCAGCCUAAAUGCAGAAAAUGUGGUUUAAAUCAUUAUUUGAGUCUUAAAUGACACACACCUUCACCAGUCACCACGAAAUUGAACUUUUAAUAAGUCAAUGAUCUGUGUGGAUGACGCAGUGUUCCAGAUAUAACACUGGGGGCCAAUUUGGAACGACUCUUAGGUCAAGGAUGAGGAGAUGGGAAGCAGAUGUGGUUUGACGUAGAUGGUCAAAAGAUCAAAUGACCCUUAGACUCUCAAAAUAGGAUUGAUUUAGUAUCUAUAUUGGGAAUUUGAAUACUGUAGUUAGACAAUUUUAUGUAAAGAGUUCUUUGCAGAAACGCUGUAAGAUUUCUAUGGAUUUUUGUCUAGGAUACACAAUAGCUGCCAAUAUACAGUACCAGUCAAAAGGUUUUUAAAAUGUUUUAUUUUAGUAUUUUCUACAUUGUAGAAUAACAGUUUGAGUUGAAUAAGUUAUGUUCCCCUUAGAAAAUGGCAAAAGCACAUGUAUACAACAAAAAAACAUAAAUCCACACCGUUGCCCUUCUCUCUCCCGUGUCUAUGUACUGACAUGUGGAACUGAUAGAUGCUCACACACACACGUUACAAUUUACACACAUUUCAAAACAUUAACAUGUAAACUGUUUUUUCCCCCCGUUAUGUGUUGGACACCAGUAAGACUUGCUGUCACCAUUGGCGUUGGCUAAUGGGGAUCCUAAUAAAUCAAAUGUAUAGGCAAUGUGAACACAUUUGACUCAACAUGUUACCUGUCAAAUCUUUCCAUCAUUUCAGUGUUAUGAUUAUAGUAACAGAUGAUGUCAAUGAAAAGUUGUUCCAGGUGGUCUGCCAGCCGGAAUACGAGCCCAGACGUCUAGACCUACUGCUGCGCCUGCCCCGCCCGCGUCUCUUUGCUAUCGACCUCCAAUCAGGUUCAGUGCAUUUCAGCACCAUAAUCGGCAGCCAGCUCCUCCUCCUCCGCGCUACCUACUCUGUGUUGGUACUGACGACCAGCUCCCACGACUUUCUGGAAAAAGAAAGGCGCUCCCCUGAAGAAGACUCAAUCCAGACACCAGAUGAAAAAAGAUUAUUGAAAAGUUCUUUAGUUAAUGCUUGCUGGAAUAACAUGAUUAUGUUUUAUAAAGGGUUUAUAGGCCUACCAAUAGGGUUCUAACUUCUAAAAAGUACAUUGCUCAAUGACUUGGACAGAUGGUUUUGUGUGCUAUCAAUUCACACACAUUGAUUGCACGAAUGGACACUAAUGCAUAUAGCUCAUAAUGGUGAAACUGUUGAAACUGUUAGAUUGUCUAUGUUUAUAAGCUACCAUUGCAGACAGAAACAUGGACAUGCCAAACUAAACUUGUUUCUUCUCUGUAGUAAGCAGACAUUGUCCUAGGAUUAGAAGUUUGGUUGGGUUCCCAUGUGUGAUGCGGAUCAACAAUGUGCAGUUGGCAAAGGUGCAAGAAUUGGGAAGUUGUGCGAGUGUUCACGGGGAACGAGGGAAUCGAGGAUGACAGCUACCAUCAGAUCAAUCAUCACACUGUAUGAGGACAAAUUGUGUUUUCUCAAAUGUUUCUCUUUUAGAUAUGUAAAUGUUUAAGAAUUGAAUUAAAUUUUUUGAAGACUUCUCUUUAAUUAAAGAAGUAAACGUC
RNA transcript from Oncorhynchus kisutch (coho salmon), 5686 nucleotides. It is a transcript of the gene named survival of motor neuron protein, with no coding region annotated. NCBI's taxonomy places the organism in Eukaryota, Metazoa, Chordata, Actinopteri, Salmoniformes, Salmonidae. The record is from RefSeq and is a predicted model, not a curated record. The transcript has 9 exons.